Molecule: ribosomal RNA, 429 nt
Filed under: Chloroflexota bacterium
Lineage: Bacteria; Bacillati; Chloroflexota
Description: Chloroflexi bacterium partial 16S ribosomal RNA
Rfam family: Bacterial small subunit ribosomal RNA
Source: RNAcentral
UAGGGAAUCUUCGGCAAUGGACGAAAGUCUGACCGAGCAACGCCGCGUGAGUGAAGAAGGUUUUCGGAUCGUAAAACUCUGUUGUUAGAGAAGAACAAGGACGUUAGUAACUGAACGUCCCCUGACGGUAUCUAACCAGAAAGCCACGGCUAACUACGUGCCAGCAGCCGCGGUAAUACGUAGGUGGCAAGCGUUGUCCGGAUUUAUUGGGCGUAAAGCGAGCGCAGGCGGUUUCUUAAGUCUGAUGUGAAAGCCCCCGGCUCAACCGGGUGGGGUCGUUGGAAACUGGGUGACUUGAUUGCAGAAGAGGAGAGUUGAGUUCCAUGUGUAGCGGUGAAUUGCGUAGAUAUAUGGAGGAACACCAGUGGCGAAGGCUGCUCUCUGGUCUGUAACUGACGCUGAGGCUCGAUAGCGUGGGGAGCAAACAGG